CACCUGGCAAUUCAAGUGAUACAAAACUACGUUAAUUCCUACAGUGUAGACCCACGCCCCCCCCCCCCGUCAGAAGGCGCCCAAAAGGCGCACCUGGCAAUUCAAGUGGUAUGAAACCGCAUUCAUUCCUACAGUGCAGACCCACUCUGACAGAGGGCGCCCAAAGGAUCAAGGAGGCGGCGCGCCUGGCAGUUUCAAGGGGUCUAGGUUAUCAUCAGUUUGCCGGCUAUGAAAGCGUGCUGCAGCAGAAAGACUGGCUUUGUGUUUUGAAACCCAGUUGUCACCUCUGCCUUGGACUUAGGAAUGGGCAACUUGGGGCCAUCCAGAUGUUUUUGACCUUCAGCUUUUCUCAGUCUAUACAGCAGGCAUGUGCAAACUUCAGCCCUUCAGGUGUUUUGGACCAACUCUCCCAUUCCAUCAUUCAAGGAACCAAGUCAGUCACAAUGAAAUGAAAUCCAAAGGCACACUAGCCAUGAUGCAGACUUACCUGGCGCUUUGUACUCUCUGAAGGUGUCGCAAACCAAAGGGAAAAGCAGCACUAAAGGAGACUCAGGGCCUUCUUCUUCUCCCAGCAAAUAGCACUCCUUUACGUGUUUUUCUGUUUCAUCUCUUGGAACAUUUUUGGGGAAUGGGAUUCCUUGUUUUAAGAAGUAAUCUGAGGCCUUUGACAGGGGCUAUAUUGAGGUUGAGUAAAUAUAAAAACAGGAUGUUAGAAGUUGAUCCUUUCACAAAAGGAAUGAAGCCAGAAUCAAACUUGUACCCACUAUGUAGCUCAUACUUCAAAUAAGGUCCAUCUUUAUCUUACUUUGCUUGCCUCAUUCAUAGCUCCAAGAACUGAGUCCCACUGAUAUAUUCCAUAAGCACUGCAGAGUUUGUGCCUUGUCCAUAACUAGGUGUGCAAUUUAAGCAAAUCUCUCAUAAUGCCUAAGGCCUUCGAAAUUUUGUCUCAAUGUGGCUUAUAUACCAUAGUUAUAGAAAUUCUAUAGGCAUCACAGGAUGAACUAUUUUUGCUAUUAAUCAUCUUUUUUAAAAGGUGAAACGUGCCCCUAGCAUUGAUCGAGUCAUGGAAAUAAUGUUUGGAAACUUCCUAGAAAGACUUGUUGCCCUAUCUUACAACAUUGAUUUUGUCUGAUCUUUAUUUGAUUUCUGGAAAAUUUAUUUUUGUUCUUAGUGGAAUGCGUGAGUAUCUUUGAUGCUUAAUUUGUAAUUUCUAAUCAGUGAUUGCAGUAGCCAAAGCAAGGGAUUUUUUCUUCAUAGUAGAAAGGACUGCCAAUAAAGUUUUCAACUGUACAGGAGACUUUGGCUUCCCUAAUACCAUUUUUGUAGACAGGAUGUGAUAACACGAAAUAAUGAUAUUUUCCUGUGCAUUCAUGUAUGUAUUUUAUUUUGUGUUAUUGUAAUUGCCUGGGCUUGGCCCCAUGUUAGCCGCCCCAAGUCCCUUCGGGGAGAUGGAGGCGGGGUACAAAAAUAAAGUUGUUGUUGUUGUUGUUGUUGUUAUAAAUAAAAAUAGUGGAAUAUUCUUUUCUUCUCACUUUCUUCACUUUAAACAGUUGUUAUCUCACUUUCAUCAGACAGGAAAUAGUCAGCAAAGACAGACAGCAUUUGUCAUUUUCUUCCUCUCAUAGCCCUCAAGUUGCUGAUGGGAGAGGAGGAAGCAGCUGCACAAAGAAGAUUUCAACGGAAGAGAUGGCAUAAGGAACCAGACAUCCAUAAGACUCAAUGAAAAUACACUACUCCAGAUUCCUGUGAUGUGCAAGAAAAGAAAUAGGAGUAAUUCAUGAAGCCUUACGCAUUUUGACUAAGGUAAUAAUAACAACAACAAUAACAAUAAUGAUGAUCAAUUUUGGUUCUCUGUUAGUUCAUCAUGUUGAGCCCCCAAGAAAUUAUUGGAGAAUAUCACUUUCCGAUUCUCCAGAGAAUAUUCAGUAAAGUGGUUCUCACAGAACAGUACCAGACCUACAUUAAACCCACUCCGAAGCGGGUUUAAAUCCGCACACUCCGGGCAAACAAACAGGUUUUCCCUUGAAUUGUCCCCAUUGCAGAAUGGUAGUUACUGUGCUGGAAUGGGGUGACCACAACUCCCCCCAAACCUUAAAAAUAAAAAACCCUUACCGGGCUGCCAUUAGGGUUCUCUGGAGCUUCCUGGAAUGCACCAAUGACACGUGAGGAGGCAGGGGCCAUUAGCAAUUUGGUUAAGGUUUUCUUUCGUAAAGCUUUUGGAGGUGGGUGAGAAAGGGCAGGCACCAUCUUGCAUCCAGGAGCCCAAAAGAUGCAAGAUGGAUGUGUGGACUGACCUCUGGGUAGUCACGAGACCAUAGCCCCUUAGAACCACGCCUUUCAGAAAGGCCCGUAUCUAAUGGGCUAUCACAUUAAUUUGGGACAAAGCAGGGUUUUCCUGCUUUGUCUCAAAUUAAUUUGCUUUUACUGGAGGCGUCCAAAUGAGAGGUGUGAGAGCUUACGCAUUUUAGGCCCUGUAUGGAUUGGCCCACAGUUUUGCUAUCAGCUAAUGAAGUGGAGAAUAUCCGCUAGAUAGUUCUCUUGGUUUUGCAAAGACUUUCCCAUCACAUUUGCAUAAACACAUGACACCUUCUGUUAGGAAAUUGAGAUAGAUUUAUCGUUAUAAAAUAAUUUGUACUGAGGUCUAUGCAGCAUAUUUAGCAAAAUUCUGAAUUGAUUCAGGGCAAUGUGUAGAAGAUUCAGAUCAGAUUACAUUGGCCCUUUAUAUUUCUAAAGCAAAACAGAUGGUCUGGAGUUUUUGGAACAUUCUUGAUAUUUUGAUGUCAAAAAUAAGUAAGGUCCCAUUUACACUGUUAUAUAACAUCCAGAUUAUUUGCUUUGAACUGGAUUAUAUGGCAAUGUAGACUCAUAUAAUCCAAUUCAAAGCAGAUAAUGUGGAUUAACUGUUUUGAUAAUCUGGAUUAUAUGGCAAUGUAGAAGAGACCUAAAACAAAUCUAGAAAGAAUUAUUCCAACAUGCCAGUUUAAGAAAAAUGUCAAGAUGGUGGAGGAGAAGGUCUUUAUGUACGUACAAUUCUAACAUGCGUUUUAGAGCAGAAUAUCAUCUUAAUUCAAUAAGCAUAGUAUUUGGGAAGAGUUAGUGCUAGUUAUAUAAUCAGUUAUCUCCAGUACCUCUUCGUUCAUUUACUAGAUUCCAUUGUUAGUAGCAGAUUAGUGAGAAAUGUGGUGAGGAUUUGAGAAAUGUGCUGAUGGGCACAUAAAUUUGCUCUCUUUGAGGGCCCUUCUACACUGCCAUAUAAUCCACAUUAUCAAAGCAGUUAAAUCACAUUGUCUGCUUUGAACUGGGUUAUAUUAGUCUACACUGCUAUAUAAUCCAAUUCAAAGCAGAUAAUCCAGAUUUUAUAUGGCAGUGCAGAAGAGGUCUGAAUCAGUGGGAUUUAUAUAAUUUCGGAGUUUAAUUUGCCUAGUUUAUUUUAAUUUGGUUGUAGUCUAGCUAGGACUAAAAACUGGACU
Long non-coding RNA from Anolis carolinensis (green anole), 3470 nucleotides. RefSeq lists it as uncharacterized. Lineage: Eukaryota; Metazoa; Chordata; Lepidosauria; Squamata; Anolidae. The transcript is spliced from 3 exons. The record is from RefSeq and is a predicted model, not a curated record.